UACGUAGGGUGCGAGCGUUAAUCGGAAUUACUGGGCGUAAAGCGUGCGCAGGCGGUUCUCCAAGGCCGUUGUGAAAGCCCCGGGCUUAACCUGGGAAUGGCCGUCGAAACUGGCGAACUGGAGUGUGGCAGAGGGGGGUGGAAUUCCGCGUGUAGCAGUGAAAUGCGUAGAGAUGCGGAGGAACACCGAUGGCGAAGGCAGCCCCCUGGGCUGACACUGACGCUCAGGCACGAAAGCGUGGGGAGCAAACAGG
Molecule: ribosomal RNA, 253 nt
Filed under: uncultured bacterium
Lineage: Bacteria
Description: partial 16S ribosomal RNA
Rfam family: Bacterial small subunit ribosomal RNA
Source: RNAcentral